Molecule: ribosomal RNA, 506 nt
Filed under: uncultured bacterium
Lineage: Bacteria
Description: partial 16S ribosomal RNA
Rfam family: Bacterial small subunit ribosomal RNA
Source: RNAcentral
AGUGAACGCUGGCGGUAGGCCUAACACAUGCAAGUCGAACGGCAGCACAGAGGAGCUUGCUCCUUGGGUGGCGAGUGGCGGACGGGUGAGGAAUACAUCGGAAUCUACUCUGUCGUGGGGGAUAACGUAGGGAAACUUACGCUAAUACCGCAUACGCCCUACGGGUGAAAGCAGGGGAUCUUCGGACCUUGCGCGAUUGAAUGAGCCGAUGUCGGCUUAGCUAGUUGGCGGGGUAAAGGCCCACCAAGGCGACGAUCCGUAGCUGGUCUGAGAGGAUGAUCAGCCACACUGGAACUGAGACACGGUCCAGACUCCUACGGGAGGCAGCAGUGGGGAAUAUUGGACAAUGGGCGCAAGCCUGAUCCAGCCACACCGCGUGGGUGAAGAAGGCCUUCGGGUUGUAAAGCCCUUUUGUUGGGAAAGAAAUCCAUCUGGUUAAUACCCGGGUGGGAUGACGGUACCCAAAGAAUAAGCACCGGCUAACUUCGUGCCAGCAGCCGCAGUAA